Molecule: ribosomal RNA, 433 nt
Filed under: uncultured bacterium
Lineage: Bacteria
Description: partial 16S ribosomal RNA
Rfam family: Bacterial small subunit ribosomal RNA
Source: RNAcentral
AACGAACGCUGGCGGCAUGCCUAACACAUGCAAGUCGAACGAGACCUUCGGGUCUAGUGGCUCACGGGUGCGUAACGCGUGGGAACCUGCCCUUAGGUUCGGAAUAACUCCCCGAAAGGGGUGCUAAUACCGGAUAAUGUCUUCGGACCAAAGAUUUAUCGCCUUUGGAUGGGCCCGCGUUGGAUUAGCUAGUUGGUAGGGUAAAAGCCUACCAAGGCGACGAUCCAUAGCUGGUCUGAGAGGAUGAUCAGCCACACUGGGACUGAGACACGGCCCAGACUCCUACGGGAGGCAGCAGUGGGGAAUAUUGGACAAUGGGCGAAAGCCUGAUCCAGCAAUGCCGCGUGAGUGAUGAAGGCCUUAGGGUUGUAAAGCUCUUUUAACCGGGAUGAUAAUGACAGUACCGGGAGAAUAAGCUCCGGCUAACUCCGUG